Non-coding RNA from Mus caroli (Ryukyu mouse), 399 nucleotides. NCBI's taxonomy places the organism in Eukaryota, Metazoa, Chordata, Mammalia, Rodentia, Muridae. The record is from RefSeq and is a predicted model, not a curated record.
GAGUUAAUGGCGACUGUAAUAGAGCAGGUUGGUCUGCAGUAGAGCACAUGCUGCUGAGCUGUGGGCACAGGGAAUAUGAGGGAACGGACCACUGUCUUCCCAAGAUGUCCCCCUACCCCUUCUCUACAACUGCAGCCUGGCUACUCCAGCAGACACAGAGAGGUGACAGGCUGGGAGACGUCUCCAACUUGUAUUCAGAAAUAAGACAGUUCUGGAGAAAUAUGCAAUGGCAGAGAACAGCAAAUGCUUUCUCUGUCCCACCCUGAAGUGUCACAUAUUGCCCCUUCCUCUGAGGUUCCUCACUACCUUCCCAGCUCUCCCAGCCUCUGCCCUUUAAAGAGUUGCAGGUUGAUUUGCUGACAUUGUUUGGUGGGAAUCAGCACCACAGGACCACAGGAC